Molecule: long non-coding RNA, 550 nt
Organism: Gymnodraco acuticeps
Lineage: Eukaryota; Metazoa; Chordata; Actinopteri; Perciformes; Bathydraconidae
Exons: 2
Source: RefSeq, a predicted model, not a curated record
AUGUAUAACUUCACUUGUUUAUAUUUCAGUAAAAUCAUUGUCCAUACUUUAUUUGUAAAACUUGUCACUGUCACUUUAUUUUUUAGAUGCUUUUAUUUUGAAAAGUACGUUUUAUUUUGGUACUCAUGGCACCGGCACAUUUCUGCAGACUCGCGCUACUUUCCUCAGUUAGCUUCAGGCCCCACUGAGGAGAAGUGUGAAGUUAGAAAGCUGAUGAAGCCAUUUCCUGCUUUAAUUAUUAUAUUCUGUUUUGCACAGGUAUGUGGGUAUUCUUUUUGUAUUUUGUAACUGUAAAUUGUAUUGUUUGUUAUGUAAGUGUAAAUUAAUGGUUAUAUUUGUGUAUAUUGGUUUACAAGGAAAAACUGGUUUGCCACCAUGGAUAGAUGUAUAUCUGUUAAUUGUAUUAUUUAGAACUCUGUAUACUUUCCUGAGUUAGCUUCAGGCCCCACUGAGGAGAAGUGUGAAGUUAGAAAGCUGAUGAAGCCAUUUCCUGCUUUAAUUAUUAUAUUCUGUUUUGCACAGAGAAUAAAUCCUGGUUGGCAAGAAAGAA